AUGAACGCUGACAGAAUGCUUAACACAUGCAAGUCAACUUGAAUUUGGGUUUUUAACUUAGGUUUGGGUGGCGGACGGGUGAGUAACGCGUAAAGAACUUGCCUCACAGCUAGGGACAACAUUUGGAAACGAAUGCUAAUACCUAAUAUUAUGAUAAUAGGGCAUCCUAUAAUUAUGAAAGCUAUAAGCGCUGUGAGAGAGCUUUGCGUCCCAUUAGCUAGUUGGAGAGGUAACGGCUCACCAAGGCGAUGAUGGGUAGCCGGCCUGAGAGGGUGAUCGGCCACAAGGGGACUGAGACACGGCCCUUACUCCUACGGGAGGCAACAGUGGGGAAUAUUGGACAAUGGACCAAGAGUCUGAUCCAGCAAUUCUGUGUGCACGAUGAAGUUUUUCGGAAUGUAAAGUGCUUUCAGUUGGGAAGAAAGAAAUGACGGUACCAACAGAAGAAGUGACGGCUAAAUACGUG
RNAcentral lists this ribosomal RNA (466 nucleotides) under uncultured bacterium. RNAcentral's name for it is "partial 16S ribosomal RNA". It matches the Rfam family "Bacterial small subunit ribosomal RNA", at positions 29 to 507 of the family's 1533-position model. The record is from RNAcentral.